AACAGGUUUGGUCCUGGCCUUUCUAUUGGUUAGUAGUAAAAUUACACAUGCAAGCAUCCCCGACCCAGUGAGAAUGCCCUCUAAGUCCAUGGACUAAAAGGAGCUGACAUCAAGCACACUAAUAAGUAGCUCAUAACGUCUUGCUCAACCACACCCCCACGGGCUACAGCAGUGAUAAAAAUUAAGCCAUGAACGAAAGUUCGACUAAGUUAUACUACUCAGGAUUGGUAAAUUUCGUGCCAGCCACCGCGGUCAUACGAAUAAUCCAAAUUAAUAGACAACGGCGUAAAGCGUGUUUAUGAGUAACCCCUAAAAUAAAGUCAAAUAGAACCCAAGCUGUAAAAUGCUACAGGUCCACUAAGAACAAUGACGAAAGUAACUUUACAACCUCAGACUACACGACAAUUAAGACCCAAACUGGGAUUAGAUACCCCACUAUGCUUAAUUAUAAACAAAGGUAAUUAAAUAACAAAAUUACUCGCCAGAGAACUACGUGCCACAGCCCAAAACUCAAAGGACUUGGCGGUGCUUUAUACCCCCUAGAGGAGCCUGUCCUAUAAUCGAUAAACCCCGAUAUACCUCACCAUCUCUUGCUAAUUCAGCUUAUAUACCGCCAUCUUCAGCAAACCCUAAAAAGGACGCUAAGUAAGCCCAAUCACCAAGUCGUAAAAAAGUUAGGUCAAGGUGUAGCCCAUGAGAUGGGAAGUCAUGGGCUACAUUUUCUUACCAAGAAAAUACACGUCAGCCCGUAUGAAACCUACGAGCCCAAGGAGGAUUUAGCAGUAAACUGAAAAUAGAGUGUCCAGUUGAACCAGGCCAUAAAGCACGCACACACCGCCCGUCACCCUCCUCAAAUUCCACCACCUAUAUACAUAAUAACAACUCAUGAAUGCCAGAGGAGAUAAGUCGUAACAAGGUAAGUGUACUGGAAAGUGCACUUGGAGGAAA
RNAcentral lists this non-coding RNA (948 nucleotides) under Anathana ellioti (Madras tree shrew). Lineage: Eukaryota; Metazoa; Chordata; Mammalia; Scandentia; Tupaiidae. The record is from RNAcentral.